GAUGAACGCUAGCGGCAGGCCUAAUACAUGCAAGUCGAACGGUAAGGUCCCGCUUGCGGGAUACACGAGUGGCGCACGGGUGAGUAACGCGUAUGCAACCUACCUUUAACUGGAGGAUAGCCCCGAGAAAUCGGGAUUAAUACUUCAUAAUAAUAUAAAACGACAUCGUUUAAUAUUUAAAGCUCCGGCGGUUAAAGAUGGGCAUGCGUGACAUUAGAUAGUUGGUGAGGUAACGGCUCACCAAGUCAGCGAUGUCUAGGGGUUCUGAGAGGAUUAUCCCCCACACUGGUACUGAGACACGGACCAG
This 307-nucleotide ribosomal RNA is filed under the name uncultured bacterium. RNAcentral describes it as "bacterial SSU rRNA". It matches the Rfam family "Bacterial small subunit ribosomal RNA", at positions 28 to 334 of the family's 1533-position model. The record is from RNAcentral.